RNAcentral lists this ribosomal RNA (1408 nucleotides) under uncultured Rhizaria. RNAcentral describes it as "SSU rRNA". It matches the Rfam family "Eukaryotic small subunit ribosomal RNA", at positions 384 to 1804 of the family's 1831-position model. The record is from RNAcentral.
CGGAGAGGGCGCCUGAGAAACGGCUACCACUUCUAAGGAAGGCAGCAGGCGCGCAAAUUACCCAAUCCUGACUCAGGGAGGUAGUGACAAGAAAUAACAAUAAACCGGCUUAUGCCGGUUUAAUUGGAAUGAGUACAAUUUAAACAUCUUAACGAGGAACAAUUGGAGGGCAAGUCUGGUGCCAGCAGCCGCGGUAAUUCCAGCUCCAAUAGCGUAUACUAAAGUUGUUGCAGUUAAAAAGCUCGUAGUUGGAUUUCUGCGGGGACGGAGCGGCCGGUCGCAACUUGCGACUCGAGCUAGCGCUUUCCCCGCAUCCUGCCGCGAACCGUGCUACCAUUAGUUUGGUGGCGCUGGGGAUCGGCUCGAUUACUUUGAGAAAAAUAGAGUGUUCAAAGCAGGCCACACGCCUUGAAUAAGUUAGCAUGGAAUAAUAACUAAGGACUUCGGUUCUAUUUUGUUGGUGUUCGGGACUGAAGUAAUGAUUGAUAGGGACAGUUGGGGCGGUCUGUAUUCCAAAGCGAGAGGUGAAAUUCUUAGACCUUCGGAAGACAAACAGCUGCGAAAGCGUUCCGCAAGGAUGUUCCCUUUGAUCAAGAACGAAAGUUGGGGGAUCGAAGACGAUCAGAUACCGUCGUAGUCUCAACUAUAAACUAUACCAGCUAGGGAUCGGCCAACGUUUAAUAUAAUCGACUUGGUCGGCACCUUAUGAGAAAUCAAAGCAUCUGGGUCCCGGGGGGAGUAUGGUCGCAAGGCUGAAACUUAAAGGAAUUGACGGAAGGGCACCACCAGCCGUGGAGCCUGUGGCUUAAUUUGACUCAACACGGGAAAACUUACCAGGUCCAGACAUAGUAAGGAUUGACAGAUUGAUAGCUCUUUCUUGAUUCUGUGGGUGGUGGUGCAUGGCCGUUCUUAGUUGGUGGAGUGAUUUGUCUGGUUAAUUCCGUUAACGAACGAGACCCCAGCCUGCUAAAUAGCGCGGCUGAGCUUUGCUCGGUGCGAGCUUCUUAGAGGGACUAUGAUGUGCGAUAGCACAUGGAAGUUUGGGGUAUAACAGGUCUGUGAUGCCCUUAGAUGUUCUGGGCCGCACACGGGCUACACUGGCGCCUGCAACGAGCAUAUCGGCUGGCCCGAGAGGGUCUUGGCUAAUCUUUUGAACCGGCGCCGUGCUUGGGAUUGACCAUUGCAAUUGUUGGUCAUGCAACGAGGAAUGCCUUGUAAACGCGAGUCAUCAACUCGCAUUGAAUACGUCCCUGCCCUUUGUACACACCGCCCGUCGCUCCUACCGAUGAAUGUUCCGAUGAAAUUUUUGGAGAGCGCCAGAGAACGGGGCUCUGCCCUGCAGAUCUGGAGGCUCAAAGUCACUUAAAUCUGAACAUUUCGAGGAAGGAGAAGUCGUAACAAGGUAACC